Molecule: long non-coding RNA, 3215 nt
Filed under: Mus musculus (house mouse)
Lineage: Eukaryota; Metazoa; Chordata; Mammalia; Rodentia; Muridae
Description: long non-coding RNA chr3:132806252-132809467
Source: RNAcentral
UUGGCAGCAAGCAUGACUUACUCAUUGAGCCAUUUCAGCAACCCAGCAGUGAUGGCUGCAAACUUACAGCAAUGGGCUAGGAUCUGAUAAAAUGUCUGACCUCCUUGGUACCAGGCACUUAUGCAGUAUAUAAAUAAAAUGAAAGCAAACACAUAAAAUAAAUAAAUCUUAAAGAAUAAACAAAAUGUAAAGCUAUUGAAAUCCUUAUAGGACCUAUGAAGUAUUUUGGUAUGAUGGAUAACUCAGUUUACAUGGAGGUAAAACUUUACAGUGAAUGUAGGUCUAGUAUUACUCUACCAAGAUACUUUUAAAAUAAUUCCAUCUCUUCCGUACCACAAAACAGGGGAAAAAGAACAUUCUGUGAGUUCCUUCUCUAAAGAAAAGUAUUUUUGAAAUAUUGAUGUCUCUCCACAUCUUGUUCUGCCUUAUGCUUCUGUUCUGGUUUGGAAGCAAGGCCUCUUGAGUGCAUGCUAGUCUCUAACUUGCUGUAGAGGGGCAGACGGGACCAGAGCUAAAACUGUCUCUCCCUCCACAGUGCUGGGACCACCAGGUCUGCUUUCUGCUUUGUUUUAUAAAGCCAAUAAAAUGAAAGGCUAACAUAAGUCUCCUUGGGUAAAAUCUUUCUUCAUUUGUGUUUUAGGGAUAAUGAAUUUCUAAAAUUACAUUUUAAUCUCAUUUUUCUAACCUAUAUAAAAUAAUUGAAAAUUGUGAAAAGAAGGUGGAACUCUUAAUCUUUUUUGUUUGUUUUCUCUCUUUUUUUUAAUUGCAUAUUUUCUUUAUUUAUAUUUCAAAUGUUAUCCCCUUUCCCAUUUUCCCUCCCGCCCGGAAACACGCCUGCUUCUAUGAGGGUGUUCCUCUACCCACCCACCCACUCACACCUCUCACCCCCAUUCCCCUACACUGGGGCAUCUGUCAAGCCUUCAUAGGACCAAGGACCUCCCCUCCCAUGGGUGCAUGACAAGGCCAUCCUCUGCAAUGUAUGCAGCUGGAGCCAUGUGUACUCCUUUGUUGAUGGCUUAGUCCCUGGGAGCUUUGGGGGGUCUGGUUGAUUGAUAUUGUUGUUCCUCUUACUGUGGCUUUACAAACCCAUCCAACUCCUUCAGUCCCUUUUCUAACUCCUCUAUUAGGGAACCCACGCUCAGUCAAAUGGUUGGCUGCUAACAUCCACCUCUGUAUUUGUAAGGCUCUGGCAGGAGACAGCCAUAUCAGGCUCCUUUCAGCGUGCACUUCUUGGCAUCCAUCCACAAUAGUGUCUGGGUUUGGUAACUCUAUAUGGGAUGGAUCCCCAGGUGGGACAGUCUUUGGGUGGCCUUUCCUUUAGCUUACACUUUAUCUUCAUAUUGCUCCUGUGAGUAUUUUGCUCUCCUUCUAAGAAGUACCAAAGCACCCACACUUUGGCUUUCCUUCAUAUUGAGCUUCAUGUGGUCUGUGAAUUAUAUCCUGGUUAUUUGGAGCUUUUGGGCUAAUAUCCACUUAACAGUGAGUGCAUACCAUGUGUGUUCUUUUGCAAUUGGGUUAUCUCAGUCAGGAUGAUAUUUUCUAGUUCAUUUGCCUAAGAAUUUCACAAACUCAUCAUUUUUAAUAGCUGAGUAGUACUCCAUUUUGUAAAUGUACCACAUUUUCUGUAUCCAUUCCUCUGUUGAAGGAACUUUGUGCCAAUUUAAGGAAUGCCUUUGCAGACCGCUUAGGGCAGCUGCCUGGGAUUCUAUGGAUGCUGCAGUCAUUUAGCUAUUGUCCAUUUUGGUUACUGGUAAAGAAAAGUGCACUAUAAAACCAGCAUGAAGUGCCCUCUGACUGUGUCUGAGGACAGCAAAGCCAAACAGUAGACUGCAGACAAAGAAAGCUGAAGGCUGCAGCCAGACUGCAUGCACUGGGCAGUAAAACUCCACCCAGACUAGAAAUACCUCCUAAAGCCCUCACAGAGGCAACAGAGAAGGAAACAGCAACACUUUUGCUGAAAUCUUAUUUUACUUCUCUUUCUAUUAGAAGCUUGAAAUUCUUCUAGGUAAAGCUUUCUUUAGUGUAGCAUGGAAAUUGUGGAGAAAGGCAAUAGAAACUAUUUCUGUGUAGUGCCAUAAACUUUAUGAGUAAUGUUAAUGGCUUCAAAGGUAAUACCCAGCCCAGCUGUUGUUUGGUAGCUAUAAAUAUUUGGAGUUUCAAAUUUCCUGAAGUUCGUAUUAAAGGUGGCCUUAGUCAUGCAAAUGUGGGUCCAACUGAUGUUAUCUGUAAACAGGAAGACUUUGAAGGAAUGUUAAUCUCAUUUGCUUCACAUAAAGACUGAGUUGUACAACUUUAUUUCUAAUGCUCUUGGGGGAAAAAGGGGAAAAAAGGGGAAGGAAAAGAUGGACCAAAAAAGGGAGGAAAGGGAAAAUAGGCAACCAGCUGCAGGCUUACACUUCCUUUAAAAUCAACCCCACAGUUUGUGUUAAUACCCCAUCCUCAUUCUUAGUGGAUGCUAAUACCGUGCUUUCUACUAUUGCUUAAGAAUGUGUUUCUGCCGUUAUGAUCAAAGUGCUGCAGAGAGGAUACCUGUGGUCAGAGGAAGCUGGCUCAUAAGCAGGCUCUGCAAGAUUGUGUUCGUCCUAUGUAAGUUUGUAUCCAGUCUAUCUAAACUAAGCAUUCCUUCAUUUGGAGUUUCAUAUCGGAAUGGAUCUUCUGUAAUGUGGGGUGUACAGUAGUUACUGCAGAGGAAUAGCUCUACUAGUUGGAUUAAUAGGUGUUAGCGUCACAUUAGCAGUUGAUACCAUUUGCUGUUUUAGUCCUAGAUCACAACCAUUUGGUCCUGUUUAAAGACAUUUGCUAGGCAACAGGGAUACAAAGUUAAACCAGAGCUAUAUAGUCAUGUAGCUAGAACAGACUUUUAAAUAAAUUAUCACAUCUUACUGUGAUGUGAGUCACACCCAAUACGUCUCAGAUGGUGGCUACUUACAUCACAAGUAGAUUUGGUGAGCAGUGCAAAUAUAUAUGCGAGCAUUUGAGAAUGAGAAUACACUCCAUAGAGGAUCAGACCCAGAGAGGUUAAGGACACAUUGAAGACAUUACAAUAAAAUGAGGGGGUCAUCACUGAACUACAUGAAGGUUAGAAAUGAGAUUAGAGUUGACUUCCUGGGAGAAUUUCAGGUAGAGGAAUAGAAGAUUCAGCUUUGUAUUUUGAGGAAAGCUACCAGAGGGCUGUACAGAAAGGCCUAGUGCUCCCUCCCAAGUAUGAAAGAAAG